Molecule: long non-coding RNA, 4345 nt
Filed under: Stegodyphus dumicola
Lineage: Eukaryota; Metazoa; Arthropoda; Arachnida; Araneae; Eresidae
Description: uncharacterized LOC118195894
Source: RNAcentral
GAAAAAAUCUGGAGGAUGGUUUUAUGGUAAACUGCCCUCGAAAUCUCUUUGCCAAAAUGUGAAACAAAGUCAGAUCUCAGGAUCACCGAGUACGAUAAGAGCGUAUGAUAGUUGGGAACACAGGGCACCCGAUAUAGUACGAAUGGAGAGUUUUGAACCACCUGAAGAAAAUCACAAUGAUCAUACCUUAUACAAGAACUGGGCAGUUAGUUCUCAUCCAGAUUUAAAAUUGCUUGAAGCAGAUACUAUUUCUGAAGAAAUCAAAAGACGAGAAGGCUUUCGAAAAAGCUCAGACGAUAGCAAAAUACGACAUUCUCAGUAUUUAUCAGACUUGGAUCCUCUUGGAGCAAAGCUGUCCAUUUCUUGCCCAAUGCUGAAAGACUUGGAGAAGGAUGAUGUGCAUCCCAAACUAAAACACUGGCAUCCGUUAUCACGAAAGAAAAUUUUAUCACCCGCUCGAAGAAUUAUGGAAAAAGUAACGAAACAUCGAAAGACUUAGAAAAAUAAAACAAUUUACCCAUAGAAAAAAAUUUAACAUUCCAAUUUUCACUGCAAUUCCAAUUGUCAUUUGUAUUCACUUGAAAACUUUUAAAUGUUACUUUUGGCAGGUUUUUUAGAAUGAUGUUUUAAUGGGAUUGCAUCAAAAUAAAUUUAAAAAUUGAUUGCACUUUUUACUUUUUGGACCAUGCUCAAGACAAUAGAAUUGCAGUAUUAUUUAGAAAUGAAUUUCACAGUUUCAUCGAAUUUUAUUUUCAAAUCGAAAUGCGGCACUAUCUUUAUUCUUGCAUGCUAAUUAAAUUGCGUUCCAUACUAAAGUAAAUACUCCGUUUAAGCAAGUGGGAACAGGAGGAAUUAAAAUAACCAGUUUUCAUUUUUGGGAAGUGAAGAUGGAUUUCUCUGAUAAAAAGCAAUUAUUUUUGACAGAAUUACACGUAUAACUUAUACGUAUUCUGCAUAAUCUAAAUUUCGUUUACUCCGAAACUGGCUCUAAAAACGCUGUAUAACGCUACAUUUUUUAGAAAUUAGAAUUUUCAUAACAAAAUGACACAAGCUGAAGAAAGGGGGGGAGCAAAUUCAAGAAGUUUUUUUUAAUCGUAUGUUAAUUACAAACCUAUUACUAUAAUUAACAAUAAAAUACAAUAUCUACCUACGGUAAAUUAAAAAAAAAAAUUGGGUUGACGGUAAAGCAUAUGAAUGCUGUUUGUCUUAGGAGGAAUAUUUUUGCAGAGGAUUUCUUUAGAGAAAUUAAUUUGCAUACAAGGUGCAUAUUGGAAAAUCCAUGAAAAAUUUAUGACUUUUAAAGUCUGAUGAUGACUUUUAAAAGUCAGUACAUUCGUCGAGAUCUGAGCUAUGAGUUUUCAGCCUUCUUAUUCGACUCGGACACUGAUAGGUGCAUAAACCUUAGUAACUGUGAACAAAACAUUUUUUUUAUAAAUGUUAAACAUUAGUGCUUAAGCCAUUUCACAGGCUUUUCAAUACUUUUCAACAGUGCCCUCAUACCAAAGUGCAAUACAAUUAUUUGAAAGUUCAAAAAACAUAAACUGAUUGGAGCCACACAAAAUACAGUUUGGGAAAUCCAGCACUCCAAUUCUGUAGAGGUAGUCUCGCAAACAGUAAUGUCCAAUCCAGACGUCUAAAUAAAGCCACAGCUAUCUUUCUUGGAAGACUGGGAAUUGUUAUUUCUCCUCCCAAAAUCCUCCGAAUUGUUAUUUCUCCUCCCAGAAUCGUCCAUCCUUGAAUCCGUGAAGCGUAUUUUUGGAAUCUAAGAAUAUGACUGCCUUUACAAAAGAUUGGCUACGAAUCGACAGUUGUUGAAUGGCCACCACAGCAAUGGCUCCGAUUUUCCCUAUGAAAGGUAGGAAGACGGCCAUUAGUAAGUAGAAACUAAAAAGCUCACUAUACCUGCCAUCCCCUCCAGGCUCUCUCUAACAUAGAACCGUCAAUCAAGCAUCCACUCAUUUUGAGAAUAUUUUUUUUUCCCAAUGGCAAACACUUGCCUAUAACGGCAUUUGCCCAUUCCUAAGGCCAGAAGUGGUAGCCAGUUUAUUGUGGAGGCACUUAACAUGUAUGUAUGUGAAGAACAAAAUGUAAUCGUUACAUAACGAUGGCCGUUACAUUGAUUAUUUCAUAGGAGGUUAAAUAAUCGAUUUUCAUUUUCGGGAAGUAAAGACGGAUUUUUCUGAUAUAAAGCAAUUAUUUUUGACAGAAUUACAUGGCCAUCGUUACCUCCUAUGAAGGGACAGACAAUUUUACAUGCCUGCCUUCUCCGAGAUUCGAACCCGAGCCCUUUGGUAUAGUUAGCCAGACUUCCCUAACCAUUAUACCGCCAGGGCCGCAUUUUGAAGAUAUCGAGCCCCAAUAGUCUCCAUUGCAAUAAAUCUUGAUUAUGAAUCGCUCAUUCCGUUUUUAACCACUCUUUGUACAAGAUCAAGAUUUAUAUUCAAAUUAAAAAAAAAAGCCCAGGGACAAGGGGGAGGAGUUAAAGUUACAUAAUCUCGGCUCAAUUCCAAGGUAAAUUAACAGGGCGCAGCCCUCAGCCCACCCAACCAAGAAAACUUGGUCAUAUGACUUAUCACAAGGGCCGGCCCAUCUAACAACAAACGAGGGGCCAGAGACCCAGCCGUGCUCAAAAACUAACAAAGAGAAACAAACAAAUAAAAUAUUAAUCUAUUAAUCCCGGGAAACCAAAAGCCCCAGGAACCGAGUAACAAAAAAGUUAGAAAAAGGAAAACUAAACAAAAUCAUAAAUACGACCAGUGAAUUUCAUGUCAUCACUGGACCUUAAACAUUCACACAAACGAACAAAAUAAAAUAAUAAAGAACUGUUAGAAAAUUAAAAAUAAGACAACACAUAACCAAGCAAAUACAAUACAAAAACACCAUUCACACAUAGAUUCCUAUGGCUUCUCUUGAGCUAUUCACAAUCUUCAUAAUUUGUCUAGAAUAUUCCACAAAGUUCUUAUAAUUUUUCUUGAAAUCACUUCUAUAAUAUUUUUGAUAUCUAUCCCUUGCACUCCCGGUAAUAAUACAGUUCUCAAAGAAUUGUCCUGCAAUCCAAAACGUUUCAAAUAUGCAGGAAAGCGUCCAUGUCCCGUAAGCAUUUGAUUAACAUCUAUAUCUUUGUAUAACUUCAUUUUCUUUUCAAUAUUUAUAUUUUUCAGUAAACCACAAUUUCUAUUAGAUUGUUCCCAAUUAUUUUUCCAUUCGCUCAAUAUGUAAUUAUAUAGUGUAGAGGUGGCCCUUCUUCUAGAGGGCCACAUCUACUCCAAGGUAUCAGAUUCUCCCUAAGCACCCUGGAUAAAGCCAAUUUUAAGUUUCAAAAUUUCUAGAAAUUUCAUAGUUCCUCCAAAACGAUUUGUCGGACAAGCGCACAAGCUUCUGGCAUAUUGCACGAAAAUAUAAUGAUCUUAGUAUUAAAAGUGCCAUCUUAACAUGUGGACUACGUUUUAAUAAUUUUUUUAUUAUUCAAAGAGAGAGCUGGUGUAGGUAACGGACUCCAGAAAACUACAAGAAAUCAUAGCUAAAGCGGCUUCUCGGUCAAAUAGUGACCUUCGAAGGUCACUGUCAAAUAAAGACGCCCAAAUUAAGGCAUCACAUAGCUAAGGAACACCUUAGCUAUGUGACUUACCUUUGCUUUAAUGGAUAAAGAAGGAAGUCAUCCGAAAUAAUAUUAAAGGUAGUUUUACUUUUUAAGGUGUACGUAGUUUCGGUUAUUCGUGUGUUUAUGUUGUACACUUGAAACAAACUUCUGAAAAUAUUUAAAUAUUACUUUAAAUCUAUACUACGGACUUCCUCUGUUAUACAUUUUGCUUGACAGCUGUAAUCAUAACACUAGUAUGAAAUAAAACCUUUCAAAAAAUAAUUGUGGUCAGAAAUUGUUGAAUUCUUUUCUGUUUGAUUUCAUACUAUAUUUCUAUCUAAAAAAAUAUUCUUUUAUGCUUAACAAUGAAAACUUCGAAAAUAGUUAAACUUAAUGUUAAAAAAAACAGAGAACAAUACUAAUGCAGUUUGAUAAAAUUUAUUAUUAAAUAAUGUUAAUUUUAUAACAUUUUAUAAUUAUAGUACAAAGUCCGAAAUUCAGACGUCCAACAUCCGGAAUCCACUGGAUCACCAGCAACCUUUUUUCUUUUAUACGCUUGUUUGUUUGAUACUUUUUCAUAAUAAAACAUGCGUAGAUCGGGUUCCGAUUCUUAAUUUCAUUUCGGAAAUGACGUCAAACUGGCGAAUCAUUUAUUAUUUUGUGCUUGCAUCACGGCGUGAUUAUCAACACAAUCCAGCUUGAGAAAUGACUCGUGAAGCAAUAUCUAAACAAAUUAAAAAAAAAAAAAAAAAAAAAAAAAAAAAA